This 305-nucleotide ribosomal RNA is filed under the name uncultured bacterium. Its description in RNAcentral is "bacterial SSU rRNA". It matches the Rfam family "Bacterial small subunit ribosomal RNA", at positions 497 to 800 of the family's 1533-position model. The record is from RNAcentral.
GUGCCUACGGGGCGCAGCAGCCGCGGUAAUACGGAGGAUGCGAGCGUUAUCCGGAUUUAUUGGGUUUAAAGGGUGCGUAGGCGGGCUUUUAAGUCAGCGGUAAAAAUUCGGGGCUCAACCACGUCCGGCCGUUGAAACUGGGGGCCUUGAGUGGGCGAGAAGAAGGCGGAAUGCGUGGUGUAGCGGUGAAAUGCAUAGAUAUCACGCAGAACCCCGAUUGCGAAGGCAGCCUUCCGGCGCCCUACUGACGCUGAGGCACGAAAGUGCGGGGAUCGAACAGGAUUAGAUACCCGUGUAGUCCUAGA